This 317-nucleotide long non-coding RNA is filed under the name Helianthus annuus (common sunflower). The record is from RNAcentral. Lineage: Eukaryota; Viridiplantae; Streptophyta; Magnoliopsida; Asterales; Asteraceae.
ACCGUUUCGAACCGAACCGUGCCGUAUCGAACCGAACCGUUUCAAGCUGUACCGUUUCGACGCGAACCGUGCCGUAUCGAACCGUGCCGUAUCGAACCGAAACGGUUCGGCUUCGAAACGGUUCGAGUCGAAACGGUACGGUUCGAUACGGUUCAGCUCGAAACGGUUCGGUUCGAUACGGCACGGUUCGGUUCGAAACGGUACGGCUUGAAACGGUUCGGCUUCGAAACGGUACGGGUCAAAACGGUUCGGUUCGAAACGGUUUAGCUCGAAACGGUUCGGCUUCGAAACGGUACGGGUCGAAACGGUUCGGCUCG